Gasterosteus aculeatus aculeatus (three-spined stickleback) is the source of this 489-nucleotide long non-coding RNA. RefSeq lists it as uncharacterized. Lineage: Eukaryota; Metazoa; Chordata; Actinopteri; Perciformes; Gasterosteidae. The record is from RefSeq and is a predicted model, not a curated record.
UGAGCUGUGCAGUUUGUGCUGCCAGCAAGCGUGCAAAGAAGAGGAGGGGGAGCGAGCGCGUAAAGGAGGAGGAGGAGCGAAGAGAGAGAGUGCAAACAAUGUCAUUCUGUUCAGGAGGCAAUGCUGCAGUCAACUUUGCAGCGCCAUGAAGGCACAUCACCAGCGACCAGGAGGCGCAGAGUGAGUGCAGAGAAGUUUUCCUCCUCUCCGCCCCGAGUGUGCGAUGCCAUCCGAGACUCACCUGAGCAGGAUAACACACCCGGUCCAGCUGUUGGUGGCGUGUUGGAACAUGCCUUGACUUGUUGCACUGCCUGGGUGAAGCACAGGGGCCACAGUCCCAGGAAGAGAGGGAAGCGGCUCCUGGUCAACAGUGUGCCAGGGUGGAGUGACCCACACCGAGACCUGCUGCACCUGUGGACAGAGCGUGGAUGGAGGAGCUGCUUAGAGCUUCAAGCUGUUGGCGUAAGACCCCGUGCCCCCCCCCCCCCC